This 233-nucleotide unclassified non-coding RNA is filed under the name plant metagenome. RNAcentral describes it as "partial contains small subunit ribosomal RNA, internal transcribed spacer 1, and 5.8S ribosomal RNA". The record is from RNAcentral.
GCUCCGUUGGUGAACCAGCGGAGGGAUCAUUACCGAUUUUUGUUACUCCCAAACCCCUGUGAACUUAUACCUUUACUGUUGCUUCGGCGGGUUAACGCCCCGGAAGGCCCAAAAAGCCGCCGGAACCAGGGGCCCGCCGGGGGACCCAAACUCAUGUAUUUCUUACUUUGCAUGUCUGAGUGUAAUCAUAAACAAAUGAAUUAAAACUUUCAACAACGGAUCUCUUGGUUCUG